Long non-coding RNA from Neopelma chrysocephalum (saffron-crested tyrant-manakin), 1134 nucleotides. RefSeq lists it as uncharacterized. Lineage: Eukaryota; Metazoa; Chordata; Aves; Passeriformes; Pipridae. The record is from RefSeq and is a predicted model, not a curated record. The transcript is spliced from 5 exons.
AAGCGCACGUUCCGCCGCCCCGCGCCCGCCUUUGUCCCCCGGACAGCGACCGGGCGCGUCCCGCCGCCCUGCCCCGGGCGCUGCCCGCUGAGCAUCUGGAGAGAGGGAGAGAGAGAGAGAAAGGGCGCGUUCAUGAGGACUACAAAGUUACAAAUAUGGCUCCCCAGUCUCUCUUGCCUGAUCACUGCAAAGAAAUGAAGACGCACUUUAAACUAAACCAUUCGCAACUCACUCGCAGUCCCUGUCUGCCUCUCCCUGCCCAGCACCCUGCACAAAUAUUUGCGAACUAAACACGCCGAGAGAGAGAGGAGCGAGCAACUUAUUUUUUAUUUAACGCACGGCGAGCCCCCCUCCCGAGGCAUCGCAGCCCGGCACGGGCAGGAGCGGCCGCGGGUCCCCCCAAAGCACCCCGGGCACCCCCAAACCGGGCUGCACGGCCCCCUACACACACACAGGCAGCUGCAGGGAUGAGGUGCCAGCUGUGUCCUGGCAGGGCUCUCUGUGUCAGGUGCCAACCUCCACACCUGCUCCUCUCCAUGGACUUGUUUCGUCAAACCCAGGGCGCCACUUCCAUCAGGGGAAGCAGCACACAGUGCAGGACAGAGAUGAAGCUUCACCUGUGUCUGUGGAUAAACUGCCAUGAAUGUAGGUGACAACUAAGCAGGAAUUCUGUUGGGAGAGUGAAAGGAAAAGGUCCAGCUGAAUCCAGCUUCAGGUGUGACCAAAGGUGGCCCCUGGGCUGAGGCUGCAGGAAGGUUUGGGCUGGAAUUUGUUUUCGUGGAGCGGGUGAAGACUUUUGGAAAAGAACUUUUAUCAUGGCAACAAACUGUUUAUAAGUAUAUACUCCAACAAGGAGUUUCUGGGAGUACAGACAGGCUUUUCCCUUUGUUUUCUCAGAAGAAAACAACGCUCUAAUUAUUUAAAGUUGUAUGAAAUGCCCCCCUACGAACUGCUGGGGGGAAUUUAUUCCAAGUUCAAAGUCAAAAUUAAGUCUUUAAAACUUGUUGGUUGUCCCUCUGCCCUUUUCACGUGCACGUUGCUGGGGAGUCUGGGAACUAAAAAUAAAUGGAAAUGUUUGGCAGGAUAAAUAUCUUGAGCAUCCUAUCAAACUGGAAAUAAAUUUUAAAUAACAUU